AGUGAACGCUGGCGGUAGGCCUAACACAUGCAAGUCGAACGGCAGCACAGUAAGAGCUUGCUCUUACGGGUGGCGAGUGGCGGGCGGGUGAGGAAUACAUCGGAAUCUACUUUUUCGUGGGGGAUAACGUAGGGAAACUUACGCUAAUACCGCUUACGACCUACGGGUGAAUGCAGGGGAUCUUCGGACCUUGCGCGAUUGAUUGAGCCGAUGUCGGAUUAGCAAGUUGGCGGGGUAAAGGCCCACCAAGGCGACGAUCCGUAGCUGGUCUGAGAGGAUGAUCAGCCACACUGGAACUGAGACACGGUCCAGACUCCUACGGGAGGCAGCAGUGGGGAAUAUUGGACAAUGGGCGCAAGCCUGAUCCAGCCAUACCGCGUGGGUGAAGAAGGCCUUCGGGUUGUAAAGCCCUUUUGUUGGGAAAGAAAAGCAGCAGGUUAAUACCCCGAUGUUCUGACGGUACCCAAAGAAUAAGCAACGGCUAACUUCGUG
Molecule: ribosomal RNA, 492 nt
Filed under: uncultured bacterium
Lineage: Bacteria
Description: partial 16S ribosomal RNA
Rfam family: Bacterial small subunit ribosomal RNA
Source: RNAcentral